AGAGUUUGAUCCUGGCUCAGGAUGAACGCUAGCUACAGGCUUAACACAUGCAAGUCGAGGGGAGACGACAUCGAAAGCUUGCUUUUGAUGGGCGUCGACCGGCGCACGGGUGAGUAACGCGUAUCCAACCUGCCCACCACUUGGGGAUAACCUUGCGAAAGUAAGACUAAUACCCAAUGACGUCUCUAGAAGACAUCUGAAGGAGAUUAAAGAUUUAUCGGUGAUGGAUGGGGAUGCGUCUGAUUAGCUUGUUGGCGGGGUAACGCCACAAGGCGACGAUCAGUAGGGGUUCUGAGAGGAAGGUCCCCCAGAUUGGAACUGAGGCACGGUCCAAACUCCUACGGGAGCA
RNAcentral lists this ribosomal RNA (349 nucleotides) under uncultured bacterium. Its description in RNAcentral is "bacterial SSU rRNA". It matches the Rfam family "Bacterial small subunit ribosomal RNA", at positions 8 to 349 of the family's 1533-position model. The record is from RNAcentral.